Molecule: ribosomal RNA, 274 nt
Filed under: uncultured bacterium
Lineage: Bacteria
Description: partial 16S ribosomal RNA
Rfam family: Bacterial small subunit ribosomal RNA
Source: RNAcentral
AUACAGAGGGUGCGAGCGUUAAUCGGAAUUACUGGGCGUAAAGCGCGCGUAGGCGGCUUGGUCAGUCGGAUGUGAAAGCCUCGGGCUCAACCUGGGAAUGGCAUUCGAUACUGCCAGGCUAGAGUAUGGGAGAGGGAAGUGGAAUUUCCGGUGUAGCGGUGAAAUGCGUAGAUAUCGGAAGGAACACCAGUGGCGAAGGCGACUUCCUGGCCCAAUACUGACGCUGAGGUGCGAAAGCGGGGGGAGCAAACAGGAUUAGAAACCCCAGUAGUCC